This 497-nucleotide ribosomal RNA is filed under the name uncultured bacterium. RNAcentral describes it as "partial 16S ribosomal RNA". It matches the Rfam family "Bacterial small subunit ribosomal RNA", at positions 28 to 507 of the family's 1533-position model. The record is from RNAcentral.
GAUGAACGCUGGCGGCGUGCCUAAUACAUGCAAGUCGAGCGAACAGAUGAUGAGCUUGCUCCUCUGACGUUAGCGGCGGACGGGUGAGUAACACGUGGAUAACCUACCUAUAUUACUGGGAUAACUUCGGGAAACCGGAUCUAAUACCGGAUAAUAUAUUGAACCGCAGGGUUCAAUAGUGAAAGACGGUUUUGCUGUCACUUAUAGAUGAAUCCGCGCCGCAUUAGCUAGUUGGUAAGGUAACGGCUUACCAAGGCAACGAUGCGUAGCCGACCUGAGAGGGUGAUCGGCCACACUGGAACUGAGACACGGUCCAGACUCCUACGGGAGGCAGCAGUAGGGAAUCUUCCGCAAUGGGCGAAAGCCUGACGGAGCAACGCCGCGUGAGUGAUGAAGGUCUUCGGAUCGUAAAACUCUGUUAUUAGGGAAGAACAAAUGUGUAAGUAACUAUGCACGUCUUGACGGUACCUAAUCAGAAAGCAACGGCUAACUACGUG